This 1910-nucleotide unclassified non-coding RNA is filed under the name Hevea brasiliensis (rubber tree). The record is from RNAcentral. Lineage: Eukaryota; Viridiplantae; Streptophyta; Magnoliopsida; Malpighiales; Euphorbiaceae.
AAAAAAUCCAGAAAAGACAAGUGAAGGAAGCAGCAAGUAGAAACAGCAAUUGGAAACCCUAGAGAAGCUUGUUGACACCUCUGACUGUCUUGUGAGAGAAGGCAAAGAGAGCUAGAGAAAACUCGAAUCUUCAAUCCAUUCCAUUGUCACGAUCAAUCUUCUUCAGGGUAUAUAUCUAUCUGGUGGUGUCUGUCUUUUCUGAAAAUGGCAGAUGGUCAUGAAUCAGAUAAGAAUAUUGAAAUAUGGAAAAUCAAAAAGUUGAUUAAGGCAUUGGAGUCAGCGAGGGGUAAUGGUACGAGCAUGAUAUCUCUUAUAAUGCCUCCUCGUGAUCAAAUAUCUCGGGUCACAAAGAUGCUGGGUGAUGAAUUUGGAACUGCUUCAAACAUUAAAAGUAGGGUCAACCGUCAGUCUGUCUUGGCUGCCAUUACAUCUGCUCAACAGAGGCUCAAGCUUUAUAACAAGGUUCCUCCCAAUGGGCUGGUGCUUUAUACAGGAACUGUUGUUACUGAAGAUGGGAAGGAAAAGAAGGUGACAAUUGAUUUUGAGCCUUUCAAGCCUAUAAAUGCUUCACUUUACCUUUGUGACAACAAGUUCCACACAGAAGCACUUAACGAACUCUUAGAAUCUGAUGACAAGUUUGGCUUUAUUGUCAUGGAUGGGAAUGGCACCCUGUUUGGGACUCUAAGCGGUAACACACGAGAAGUGCUUCAUAAAUUUACAGUUGAUUUACCAAAGAAGCAUGGAAGAGGAGGGCAGUCCGCUCUUCGUUUUGCUCGCCUUCGGAUGGAAAAGCGGCACAACUAUGUUAGAAAAACUGCAGAGCUUGCCACACAGUUUUUCAUUAAUCCUGCUACCAGUCAGCCAAAUGUUUCUGGGCUGAUACUGGCAGGUUCAGCAGACUUCAAGACUGAGUUGAGCCAGUCAGAUAUGUUUGAUCCUCGUUUGCAAGCAAAGAUAUUGAAUGUGGUUGAUGUUUCUUAUGGGGGAGAGAAUGGUUUCAACCAAGCUAUUGAGCUGUCAGCUGAGAUUCUAUCAAAUGUAAAGUUCAUACAGGAAAAACGCUUGAUUGGGAAAUACUUCGAGGAGAUCAGCCAGGAUACUGGAAAGUAUGUCUUCGGUGUUGAUGACACAUUGAAGACUCUGGAAAUGGGUGCUGUUGAAACCCUUAUUGUGUGGGAAAAUCUAGAUAUUAAUCGAUAUGUUUUUAAAAACAGUGUUACUGGUGAAAUAAUUAUAAAGCACUUGAACAAGGAGCAAGAGGCUGAUCAGAGUAACUUCAGGGAUGCAGCCAACUCUGCAGAGUUGGAGGUUCAGGAAAAGAUGCCUUUACUUGAGUGGUUUGCGAAUGAAUACAAGCGAUUUGGUUGCUCACUUGAAUUCGUUACUAACAAAUCGCAAGAGGGAUCACAGUUUUGCAGAGGGUUUGGUGGAAUUGGGGGUAUUCUUCGCUACCAGCUUGACAUUAGAUCUUUUGAUGAGUUGUCUGAUGAUGGUGAAGUUUAUGAGGAUUCGGACUAGGAGAUCAUAAUGAUGUGAAAGCUUACAUCAGUGUGAUGGAUCUUUGUUACUGAUAUUGCUCAACACUUGAUACAAAUAAUUUUCUUAUUUUGCUGCUUUUGAUUUGGAUGUUGGGAAUGUUUCAAUGAUUCCCAUUUUCUUUUAUCAACUCCUGUUUUAUUUUUCUUCACCCUCUAGCGAUUUGGAUUUUGUGCAAAUAUGCCAAACUAUAAUGGUUUUUCUGUGCGAACUCAUACAAUAGAACAGAGAAAUUGGAUUUGCUUGGGGAAAUGUAAAGGUUGGUCCAAAAUUAUUUUUGAAUCUUGCCAUCUUGGGUAUUGAGGACUUUUGGAUAUUUGAUGGGAUGGUGAGAAUAGUAAAUGAUUUUCUUAUCUCUACCCCAUGAAGUUAUG